Molecule: ribosomal RNA, 579 nt
Filed under: uncultured bacterium
Lineage: Bacteria
Description: bacterial SSU rRNA
Rfam family: Bacterial small subunit ribosomal RNA
Source: RNAcentral
CGGGAGGCAGCAGUAGGGAAUCUUCGGCAAUGGACGAAAGUCUGACCGAGCAACGCCGCGUGAGUGAAGAAGGUUUUCGGAUCGUAAAACUCUGUUGUUAGAGAAGAACGUUGUGUAGAGUGGAAAAUUACACAAGUGACGGUAUCUAACCAGAAAGGGACGGCUAACUACGUGCCAGCAGCCGCGGUAAUACGUAGGUCCCGAGCGUUGUCCGGAUUUAUUGGGCGUAAAGCGAGCGCAGGUGGUUUAAUAAGUCUGAUGUAAAAGGCAGUGGCUCAACCAUUGUGUGCAUUGGAAACUGUUAGACUUGAGUGCAGUAGAGGAGAGUGGAAUUCCAUGUGUAGCGGUGAAAUGCGUAGAUAUAUGGAGGAACACCGGUGGCGAAAGCGGCUCUCUGGACUGUAACUGACACUGAGGCUCGAAAGCGUGGGUAGCAAACAGGAUUAGAUACCCUGGUAGUCCACGCCGUAAACGAUGAGUGCUAGUUGUUUGGGGCUAUCCAGCCCUAAGUGACGCAGCAAACGCAUUAAGCACUCCGCCUGGGGAGUACGACCGCAAGGUUGAAACUCAAAGGAAUUG